Molecule: ribosomal RNA, 468 nt
Filed under: uncultured bacterium
Lineage: Bacteria
Description: partial 16S ribosomal RNA
Rfam family: Bacterial small subunit ribosomal RNA
Source: RNAcentral
GACGAACGCUGGCGGCGUGCUUAACACAUGCAAGUCGAACGGAAAGGCCCUGCUUUUGUGGGGUGCUCGAGUGGCGAACGGGUGAGUAACACGUGAGUAACCUGCCCUUGACUUUGGGAUAACUUCAGGAAACUGGGGCUAAUACCGGAUAGGAGCUCCUGCUGCAUGGUGGGGGUUGGAAAGUUUCGGCGGUUGGGGAUGGACUCGCGGCUUAUCAGCUUGUUGGUGGGGUAGUGGCUUACCAAGGCUUUGACGGGUAGCCGGCCUGAGAGGGUGACCGGCCACAUUGGGACUGAGAUACGGCCCAGACUCCUACGGGAGGCAGCAGUGGGGAAUAUUGCACAAUGGGCGGAGGCCUGAUGCAGCAACGCCGCGGGCGGGAUGACGGCCUUCGGGUUGUAAACCGCUUUCGCCUGUGACGAAGCGUGAGUGACGGUAAUGGGUAAAGAAGCACCGGCUAACUACGUG